AUUGGCUACCCUUUCAUAUCCAUAAGAUAAUUAAAACGAAGGAGGAUUUUUUUAAACUUUUUUUUUAAUCAGCCAAUGGUUAAUGCAAGAGUUUAGCAGAUGCUUUGCUAUAAAAAAAAUCUUAAAAAUCUUCUAAACUAACCGGAUCUUCUCAAACCAGGGAACACCAAGACCCCCAAAUGGUUUUCCUCCAGCUUGCGGAAUCUUAAAAACCCGGCACCUCGUUCCCUCCGAAUCAGUGGUGUGGCCGAUAUCGGUUUUCUGCUAUUUUAACUAGCCUGUUUGGGACCCUCAUGGCGAAGCUGGCCGAACUUAAAGCGAGGGCACCGUGGCGAGGCUAACAGGAGGUUUAGGUUCACCCUACCUACUCCGGCACGGCGUUGGGUUUCCAGCUGAUUUGACUUCCACUUGAGCAUCGAAAGGAAGGAGCCACCAACUCCAGAUCACCUUUCCCAGAUUCCCGGAUAAUGCCAGAUGGCCUAGGUACUACUCAGUUCCCCAAGUGGAUACACCAGCACUUAAUGUGAAGCAUUACUUCAUAGCAGUUAUUAUCUCAGUAUCCACCUUUUCCCACCCAGACCAUGGUCAUCAGAAAUCUGGAGGAAGACUGCCAUCUUGGAUGCAUGUGAAUCAGGCAAGAAAAAGCUCGGAUAAUUCAAAAUAAACUGGACCACAAAGAGGAAUCAAAAGAAUCAGGCCAGAUGGACCAUAAAUUCAUGUUUUGUGUUGAUGGGAUUACAUCUCAAUUUCCUUUGUCAUCUUUUCCAAAUCUAAUUUCAAAUUUUCCAAACCAUCACAUGAGAAACGACUUUGACCUUGCUUUCAAGCUUCCAUAAUGUCUUAGGAUAAAGUGGACUCUAAGAAACUUCUCUGAUUAAGCAUGAAACUGGGGAGCUGUGUGGAGAACACAAACUGUUCUGUAAAGAGAUGGGAUAUUUGGGUUUCAGGCUUCAGAAGCAUUGCUCAGAUGACAUGGAACCACUCAGGUGGUUGCUUACCAACUAGGUCUUUCUCUGUCUCUGUUUCUCUAUGUUUCUUCUUUCUCAUGAAAAUUGACUUAAUAGCUACUAACUGCCAAUACCACAGUUCUGAGACUUUUAGGGAAUUUGAAACAGUGAAAACUUGUCUAAAGAAAAGCUAGUUAUCAUCUCUGCACUGGUUGUUUUUUCCCCAUUUUUUAAAUGGAAAUGAUCACAGGUAGAAACUAAAUUAGUUUUAUUUUGUUAUCUUUUUACUGCCACUCUAAGAAUCAGGCCUCUCUUUCAAGACUGGGAGGGGGUAAUUUAUGUAACUACCAUUGUUUUAUUCCAUUUUAAGCAAGAUAGCUUGUUUCCCCCCUAUAUUUGGAGGGUGGAGUGUAUAUUAACAGAACAAGGACUAGAGGUAGGUAAGUUCUGUGACUGCCUAGGGCUCAGCAGGCAGAGGAGCAUAAAGAGGAAUGCCAUUUUAUAUGACUUUUAAAAUGCAUAUAAUUUUAAUACCAGAAAAUUUCACUGCCAACGACACCUGGAUUUUUACUUUGUGUUAAAUCAAGUUUCCUACGCUAGACUGAAGAUCUUAUGAUCAACAGUUACAUACAGGGGGCGCAGUUUUCAAACCAAGGUUUGCUACUGAUGGGUGGAGUAAUUUUUGUAAGAUAUCCAAGUUCCACAAAUGUCCAAGCGUGGUUCUGAGCUGGAGAGUGGGAGUGCAUGGGGGGUGGGGAUGGGUAAGACUGAGGGUAAUAGUAGAAAGGCCCCUCCCUCCUCUUUCCCCCAGUGUUCUGACUUGUCCAUAGAGAGGGAGCUUUCCUUGGGUGGGUGUCAGUGGCAUUGAUAGAAUGGGGGCAGACGUAGGUCCUUCAAUUCAUUUCUGUUCCUGAAACUUUAAACUCAUUAUAGGAGUCAUCGAUUACUUUGAGUUUAAAUUCCUUUCCUCCAGAUUAUCUCUGAGGUCUGUGCUUUCCCGCAGUGUUUGGAUUUGUAGAGUCCAGCCAGUCAUAGAACCUGAGGCUGAAUGUACCCAAGUGAGAAGCAAUAGAGUCAUUAUUUAAAACAAAAAAAAAUCAAAGAAUUAUCUUAAUAUAAAUUCUCCUUCUGAAGAUUUCCCUUCCACCUUCUACGAAUGCUAAAAAUUAGACCACCAGACAAUCUUAAACACACACUUUUGCUAGGGGUAGAUCUUUUUAAGAGAGGAGAGAAAUGCCUCAAAUUUCUUUCGUUUGUGCUAGGGAAAAUAAGGCCCAUGGCGACCAGAGAGGACGGGUCUACACUGACUUUAACAAGGGGUAAGCAAUGUGAUCUUUCCUACACCUCUGUAGGUACUCUCUAGAGCGAAUGAAAACGUAACUGAAGUAAACUGACAUUUUUGCUACUUACACCCUUCAAGGGCUUGCCCACUCUGGUUUGAAGCAUGACACCAGCAAGGGCAAUAUUUACCUCCUGUCAGGAGGAAACCACUAGAAGUUUGAUUGAGGAAGUAGUUGUGAUUUUGCAAACACACCGUUUAUCUGUCGAAAGUAGCGGGUUUCAAUUAGAUUUCGGCGCAGACUCCAUGGCAAUAUUCAUUUAAAAGAGAAGCACACUUAAACGCGGGAGCCUUGCAAGAGCAACGUGAAUAACGGAGCCAGCAUGCUUCUAACUACCGAACUUGGGGUCGCAUUUACAUUUCUAGUUCCCAAGCAUUGCCUGCAGUCCUGAGGAAUUGUGUUUUGCAGCCUUCUUUGUAAUUCUACGUGGAUGGGAUUUCUACGCACAGUUUUCUUGCAAACAUUUAUUUUCUUGCACGUUAUAGAGGACUUCCUGUACAGAAAAACGACUUUAGACAGGGUUGUUAGGUUUCAAGUUAACAAAAAGAAACACUUUUAUUGUCAAUAUUAAUGGAAAAGCUCGAUUUUUUUUUACGAGUUUGGUUUUAGCAGCGUGCAUAGAUCAAAAGCAGCCUGGUUUGAUUUCCAAAUAUUCUCUGGAGCUUAGACAAUUACCUGUAAUUUUGCUUUCAAAGACACAACACAAAAAUGUUAGUUACGUAAAUGUUAAUGCCAUUGCGGGGUGAGGGUAGGGGCGGGCAGAACCCUCUACCUGUUUCUGCAGCGUCAGAUUCUAAUAAACUUUUCCCACGGAA
This is a long non-coding RNA of Trichosurus vulpecula (common brushtail), 3102 nucleotides long. RefSeq lists it as uncharacterized. The record is from RefSeq and is a predicted model, not a curated record. NCBI's taxonomy places the organism in Eukaryota, Metazoa, Chordata, Mammalia, Diprotodontia, Phalangeridae. The transcript is spliced from 6 exons.